GGAAGUAAAAGUCGUAACAAGGUUUCCGUAGCAAUAAGUUAUGGAUCAGUGAUCCUUCCGCAGUGACACUUAUAGAAGCCUUGAAAUGCGCCUACGCAAGUAGGGACGCCCAGCGACUGAAAAUAAUUGGGAUACGCAAGUCGAAGCCCCCCUCGGGAGGCUGAGGCGACACUUUCGAAUUGCGGGGACGCCCUGAGAGCUCUACCUACUAAGCCGAGAGGGAAACUUCUUGGUGGCCCAUGUUAACAGCAUGGGGUAUAGUAAAAAGGGUAGAGAUUGGGCAAUCCGCAGCCAAGCUCCUACAGUCCCUAGGGAUAUGGAGAAGGUUCACAGACUAAGUGGAAGUGGGUGUGCGUCGCUUGUCGAUGCAUGCUUAAGAUAUAGUCGGGCCUCCGCCGAAAGGCGAGGGGUAAGUCACUGCAACGCAUCACUCGCGGGGAGAAUUUGAAAUCAAUCGAGUCAGUAAAGUCGAGCAAACUGCUUUACAUCGCUGCCAUCCUUGGCCUGACCUGAUUGAUCGAAGAAACUUCCCGCUGGUAUGUGGACAAUUAAACCGUUCCGUAGGUGAACCUGCGGAAGGAUCAUUA
Molecule: ribosomal RNA, 587 nt
Filed under: Phyllosticta citrichinensis
Lineage: Eukaryota; Fungi; Ascomycota; Dothideomycetes; Botryosphaeriales; Phyllostictaceae
Description: Phyllosticta citrichinaensis partial 18S ribosomal RNA
Rfam family: Group I catalytic intron (bases 84-408)
About the family: Group I catalytic introns are large self-splicing ribozymes. They catalyse their own excision from mRNA, tRNA and rRNA precursors in a wide range of organisms.
Source: RNAcentral